UAUAGAAUACUACUCUAAAAUAAAUGCUGUUAUGAGAGAGAAGUUAGGAAUUUAAAAUAUAGCAGUAUAGUUAAUAUACUGUUUAUGCAUCUCCCGACUAAGGUUCAACUACCAAAGAAAACUUGGUGGGCUGUUUGUGAGUUGACAAAAUUUCAAAAAAUAUAAAUAGUAAAUGGUUUUUUGAAUGUUAAAAAUUACUGCAAAAUUGUUUGAGUAAUGAGUAUAGUGGUGAAGAGUGGGCUUUUAGACAUGUAAAUUUAUAUGGGCAAUCUUACCCCAAUCUGUGUAGAUCAAUAGAUCAUUGAAAAUAAUUCUGAGGGUUAUCCUGUUAAAUUUGUAUUAAUACAAUUAAAUUGAAGUAGUA
Cinara cedri is the source of this 364-nucleotide non-coding RNA. NCBI's taxonomy places the organism in Eukaryota, Metazoa, Arthropoda, Insecta, Hemiptera, Aphididae. The record is from the annotation of a GenBank genome assembly.